This 941-nucleotide long non-coding RNA is filed under the name Lynx canadensis (Canada lynx). RNAcentral's name for it is "lncRNA (ENSLCNG00005016257.1)". The record is from RNAcentral. Lineage: Eukaryota; Metazoa; Chordata; Mammalia; Carnivora; Felidae.
GGAUCAGAGCCAUAAAUUGGCUCUUCCAUAGCAGACACAUUUCUUCAGCAUCCCCUCCACUCAGACUUUCUCCUUCUAGGUGGCCUUCCACAGCCUUCCGUGCAGGAUAGGAGCCUUCCUCCACACCUCCCUCUUUCCCGACCUCCUUUGCAAGCUCCCAGCAGGCCUGCGGCUCCUCCUCUUCCUCCCCGGAAGCAACGUGCCCUGCGUGCGCCCACCUUCCGGCCCAGCGGGAGCUCCAGCGGGCGCCCCUCCCCCCACCGUACGGACCCACACCUUCCCAUACCUUAGUUACCUGGACAGAUGCCUGCAAGCGUAGUCAGGAAUCCUGCCCCUGACGUCGGCCUCCAGCUCUCAGCGGAGGGCGUGGCGACGGCGGGGAGGCAGGAGGGGGAAAGGCACCAGCCAGCAGCCGUGCCAGCGCUGCUCAAGUUUCACUUUUAGUCUGUGGGUCUGCUCCCCCGCCCCGCGCGAGCUUUCCCGGGAUAAGUAGCGUUAGCGGGCAGGGAAGAGCUCGGCGCUGCACGGGUGGAAAUUAUGGAUGGGCCUUGGAAAAGAAUGAGCGUGGCUUCCCAUCUUAGCUCCUACCACUAUCCUGGAAGCUGCCAGAAUUCUGGAGUGUAUUUCCCAUCGAAAGGAAUGGAAGAUGGUUUGCAGACGUGUUACCUUGGAGGUACUGUUUGAACCAGAAAGGUAAAAGUGACUUCCAAAAUUGUAAAUCCUUUGCCCUCCUUUAUCUGAGUCUGAGUGUCAGCGAAGUAUGAAUGCCAACUUGGGUCACCCAGGAGGUGAAGCUGCUAGGAACUCUGUUCUCUGAGCUGUCUGAGAAGGGAGGAUCAGGGACUGGCAGUGGAGCUGUGGAGGGCAAUUUCAUGGUCUAAGAGGUCAUUUUCGACAAAAUCUGAAGGGAUAAUUCUCUGUUAGGCUCUGCAGGCCCCAUU